ACCCGAAUUCGUGAUAAACCACCAAAUCUGACCAAACGUAAUCCCAUCAGAUACCAGAUCGUUAAGGCUUUCAGGCUCCAGAUCCGUAAAAAUCAGAAGAUUAAACACCACAUAAGCCAAUUUUCCUUUUUGAAAACCAGAUCCUAACAAUAAAUGUCGGAAUCCAAAAAAACUCAAAGAUGAAGUUCCGCUCCAUCCCUGAACCAAUCCCAUCGAACGAGAGAUUGAGAGAUCAUCUCUCCAUCCCCCCGCCCACAACAACGAGAACCGCCAUAUCAAAACCUAAGACCAAAACCAGCCAUCAUCGCAAUCUCCUUUUCUCUCUCGCAAUCGCCUUUUUCUUUUGGAUUUUUUUUUUUCGGUUUGGGGGAAGGAUCCAUUUCUAUUUGGAUUAUGGAAGGUCUCAGGAUCUUCCUUUGGGUCUAUCGUAACAGGGAUUAACGGAGCAUUGAUGAUACGAUCAGCUUUGGUAUGGUCAGCGAUUUGCAUUUCCUAUAUUCGAUUUGUGUCCUGUAUUGGUGUAAGUGCUGUAGACGAGGUAUUUAUGCGAUGGCUAGGGUUAUGUUCAGGAAUCAUUUCUUUUACUCCUUCUCCUUGGCUGCUUCUUCGUUUCAGUUCAUUCAGCAUCUGGCGAUUAUUUUAUUUGAGUAGUGUUCAACGUCCCUUACGGUUGCGAGUUAUGGCUCAAGUGGCGUUCAACAAGAGUAAAGCUUCCUUGGUUCGUACUGACACAGUGAGGAUCUCCAAUUCAGUUCUGGCUCAGAGAAUCCAGCAGUUCUCUAUGACUCUCAUUGGGAGGUUAAUGAAUCCGGUUUGCCAAAGAAUGGAGUCUUUGGUAGCAAAUUUUCCAAAAAUCUGGAAAUUGGAGGAUAAAGUAGUGGGAGCGGAUCUGGGACAAGGUGUCUUUCCGUUCAACUUUGAUGAUGAAGAAGAUAUUCUGUCCGUUCUUCAGAAUGGUCCUUAUCAUUUUGAUGGCUGGAUGGUUUCUCUGGUGAGAUGGGAACCGAUCAUUUCCUCCACAUAUCCUUCUGCAAUUAAUUUUUGGGUGAAGGUGGCUGGGAUUCCGAUGCAAUUGUGGGAGGUGGCAACUCUUGAAGCCAUUGGUAAGAAGAUUGGGAAGAUUCAAGAGGUUGAUGAGGAAUCGAGCAGCUUGUGUGUUUCUGUCAAUGGGUUUAAUCCUCUAAUUUUCAAGAUGGUGGUGCCUUUUGAUACAGGUGAUGAAAUUGUGGUUUCUCUAGAAUAUGAGAAAUUGGUGGGUGUAUGUGAUCAUUGCUUUAGGAUGACUCAUGAGUCGAGGGUGUGUUCAGAGAUUAAGAAGUUUGGUCCUGGUCAUGGCAUUGAUGAGCAGUUGGAUAAAAGGGGUGGUCAAAGGCAGCUUCCUUUGGGGAAGCAAGAGUCACAUCACAACGUUGGGGGUUGGGAAAAGCCUAGGAAGCAUGCUAAGAGAGCUUUAGAUUUCCAGUCUUCGGAUGUUGGUGACCAUGGUUUGCUACCGCAGCAACGGAUUGGUGAUAGUGGCUUUUCUGUUCCUUGUCAACAGGAGCGGCUUCACGGUCCGGUUUGGGGUCAAAAGAGGAAUGUUGGUGAGGUUGCUGGUCGCCGCGGCUUUCAAUCAGGGUAUGGGGAACCGUCGGGUAAGGCUCAUGUUUUCCAUCUCAAUAGGAAAGGUGUUGGGCCGGCUUGGCCCAAACCCUUGUACAAGGUUAAAGAGGCUCCCAUCGAGAAGCAUUCCCAGCUGAGUUUUCCAAAUAUUGUGGGUGUAUCUGAAUCUAGUAACUCACAAGUGACCAGUGAUUUGGAUGGUUUCUCUCAUAAGGGUGAUGGUGUGGCUUCUAUGGCUAUGGAUUUUGUGGUAUAAACUGAUGAUCUGCUUGAGGAUGGUGAGUUUGAGGAUAAUGCUAAGGGUGGUAUCAAGGCUGUCGAGGAGUUGGUUGCUUCUCCAGUUCAGGGAAUAGAGUUACAUUCUGGUCAGGAGACCGAGUUACACACUGGUCAGGAGACUGACCCUCAAGGAGAGUCUGAUGGUGGUCAGCAAUGUAUUUCUCUUCUUUCCGGUCCGGUUGACCUUGAAGUGGGUGUAGUGAAUAGUGUUAUGGCUGCUUUUACCUUAGGAGAUCAGAGUGGUAACAAACGGAGGGUUAUUAGUCCUUAUGUUAGAAAAGGGGUGAUGGGAACAAACAGAAGAUGAUGGGGAAACAGGGUAACUCUACAAUGGCCGGUAAACCAUCGGAUGGUGGUCGUCUAGGUAAGAAAGGGAUGGGGGCUCUCCCGAAACCGCCGGCUAGAAUGUGAAGAUUCUGAGUUGGAACUAUCAGGGCAUAGGCACUGACCUAACAGAGGAAACUCUUUAUUUUCUGAAAUUUCAUUUGUAAACUCUUUUUCUCCAGUUUUGGCAACUAACUUUGGAGUUCUCUUUUUAUUUAAUGUUUGGUUGAAAAAAAAAAUGUGACUUAAUCAUAGUGUAUAAAUGACU
RNA transcript from Camelina sativa (false flax), 2473 nucleotides. RefSeq lists it as uncharacterized. The record is from RefSeq and is a predicted model, not a curated record. NCBI's taxonomy places the organism in Eukaryota, Viridiplantae, Streptophyta, Magnoliopsida, Brassicales, Brassicaceae.